AUGGCAGCUUGGGAGUUGACUCUGGUGGCCAAGAGGGGACCGUCUGCCCCCAUCGGUGCCAUUAACAAGGGGGCUUCACGGACACGGGGGCUCUCUGGCCUGGAAGGGACACGUAGGACCGUGCCUGAUCCCAGGGAGAAUGUUCCAGGUGCCGCCCGAAUCCUGGAACGAGGACCUCUCACGAGGGCCAACAGCUCCGAACGCACAUGCCCCCAAGUGAGCGGGCUCCCCGCCUUUGCUGCCAAAUGCAGGAGGAAGGGGCCUCGUGAUGGCUCCUCCCCCCGCCCCAGCCCCCCGGAGCCCACGGAACCCUUCUCAAUCCCAAAAACGCGUGGGGGUUUUGGGGGAUGGGGGCUUUCUGAGACCAGAGGAAGGGUGGCUCUUUUAGGAAGGAGUGAGGCGAGCUGGGUGUCCUCCAGGACCUCCCCUGCCGGCUGGAGGUCACUCAGGGCUGUUGGGAGAGGCACACGUGCGGGGCCCCCUCCCCUCCUGCACCCUGAGCUGCGUGUGCGUGUGUGUGUGAGUAAGUGUGUCUGUGCGUGUGUGAGUGUGUCCAGAAUGCAGGAACCGGUCAACACUGGAAGGUCCCUGGGAGCUCCUUUUCUUCUGGGAUCUUCACCGGGGAGAAAACCUGACCUUGUUUGUUUUAGUCAAAAGCUGGAUGUCCCUCCUAAAAAGGCACAGUGGAGUUUUUUCGAGAAGACAUUGUGCUGCUGGGGCCAUCGUGACAGAAGCAGGGGAAAGAGCAGAACGCAGAAACUUGCUCAGGCAGGACUGGGGACCCGUGUUUCCAGUGGACACGGGCUUCACUGCGUGGCCAUCGAGGUCCUUCAACUUGGUGCCGUGACGCGCACGGAGGGGGCGCUCUCCCCGCAGAGUGGCAGCCGUUCAAAAUGUGGCACUAAUUCCAUGCCACCCUCCGCACCUGUCACCCCCGGCUUCCCCCGGGACCUGCACGGCUGCCGUGGAGCCCACGAGGCCCAGCGGGGGACGGGAGAGGCGCGGUGGCCCAAGUCCACCCAGGGGUGUGCGGCCCGUGGCCUCGACCCUCGCCGCGUGGUUUCCAUGUUGUUGCCCCCACUGAAUCUAGCAGCUGACGUUUCUGGAAGGUUCUGCACAGCCGGCUGCCCACUAACCCUGGUGUGCACGCCCCUGGGAAAGGCGGUGUCCCGCCCGCGGUCAUUCAGCACUGGUGGCGGGCGUGAUGGCAAAAACAAGGACCAGGCUCAGUGGGAAUGCUGA
Molecule: long non-coding RNA, 1242 nt
Filed under: Panthera leo (lion)
Lineage: Eukaryota; Metazoa; Chordata; Mammalia; Carnivora; Felidae
Description: lncRNA (ENSPLOG00000018585.1)
Source: RNAcentral